AUGCAGUCGUGCGGUAGUCACACAGGGAGCUUGCUCCCCGGGUGACGAGCGGCGGACGGGUGAGUAAUGUCUGGGAAACUGCCUGAUGGAGGGGGAUAACUACUGGAAACGGUAGCUAAUACCGCAUAACGUCGCAAGACCAAAGAGGGGGACCUUCGGGCCUCUUGCCAUCAGAUGUGCCCAGAUGGGAUUAGCUAGUAGGUGGGGUAAUGGCUCACCUAGGCGACGAUCCCUAGCUGGUCUGAGAGGAUGACCAGCCACACUGGAACUGAGACACGGUCCAGACUCCUACGGGAGGCAGCAGUGGGGAAUAUUGCACAAUGGGCGCAAGCCUGAUGCAGCCAUGCCGCGUGUGUGAAGAAGGCCUUCGGGUUGUAAAGCACUUUCAGCGAGGAGGAAGGUGGUGAACUUAAUACGUUCAUCAAUUGACGUUACUCGCAGAAGAAGCACCGGCUAACUCCGUGCCAGCAGCCGCGGUAAUACGGAGGGUGCAAGCGUUAAUCGGAAUUACUGGGCGUAAAGCGCACGCAGGCGGUUUGUUAAGUCAGAUGUGAAAUCCCCGGGCUCAACCUGGGAACUGCAUUUGAAACUGGCAAGCUAGAGUCUCGUAGAGGGGGGUAGAAUUCCAGGUGUAGCGGUGAAAUGCGUAGAGAUCUGGAGGAAUACCGGUGGCGAAGGCGGCCCCCUGGACGAAGACUGACGCUCAGGUGCAAAAGCGUGGGGAGCAAACAGGAUUACAUACCCUGGUAGUCCACGCUGUAAACGAUGUCGAUUUGGAGGUUGUGCCCUUAAGGCGUGGCCUCCGGAACUAACGCGUUAAAUCACACCGCCUGGGGGAGUACUCGCGGCUAGGGGUCAAGGUCAUAUUGAAUUUGACAGGGGGCCCCCACAAUCGGGUGGAGCAUGUGGCUUAAUUUCUUUGCAAUCACGGGGGAGCCUUCCCUACUU
This 948-nucleotide ribosomal RNA is filed under the name Serratia marcescens. RNAcentral describes it as "bacterial SSU rRNA". It matches the Rfam family "Bacterial small subunit ribosomal RNA", at positions 55 to 980 of the family's 1533-position model. Lineage: Bacteria; Pseudomonadati; Pseudomonadota; Gammaproteobacteria; Enterobacterales; Yersiniaceae. The record is from RNAcentral.